Molecule: microRNA precursor, 156 nt
Filed under: Oryza meridionalis
Lineage: Eukaryota; Viridiplantae; Streptophyta; Magnoliopsida; Poales; Poaceae
Description: MIR812 microRNA precursor family
Rfam family: MIR812 microRNA precursor family
Source: Rfam by way of RNAcentral
UACAACGUUUGACUCUUCGUCUUAUCUAAAUUUUUUUAUGAUUAGUUUUAUUUUGUUGUUAUUAGAUGAUAAAACAUGAAUAAUACUUUAUGUAUGACUAUUUUUUUAUAAAUUUUUAAAUAAGAUAGAUGGUUAAACGUUGAACACAGAAACCUA